GGACGAGUUUGAAGCUCCGUCCCAUCUGGUGAAGCAUCGUAGCGUGGGGCUUGCGAAGUUCUGGUAGCGAGCGGAGGAUCGGUCGUGUCUUCAGAGAAGCGAGCCGGCGGGCGCCAUGCUGUGGUUAUUGUCGAGUCAAGAACGUUUGUGUGGGCGGAUAUAAGAACAGGACCGGACCAUCCGGACCAUCCGUCCCACAUUUCAGGCCCGCGCUCGUGACCGCUUCUUUCUUUGCCGCGACACUGGCGCGUGAUUUGAUGCGCUUUCUUGCCCCGCCCGUCUUCAAGGAUUGAAGCAGGGACCCCAGAAUGAGUGCCAAUCUUCUCUUGGGGCGUGCCCAUCUGCUGCUUCUGCUCCCGACGAAGAGGACGAGGUCAUCCUCCACCGUUGACGACGGAAGCAGCUGCAGCGGCAGAAGCCACCUUUCUCGGGAACGCACGCUGCGGAAGCACGAAGGGAGAGGAGCGAGCGCCGUCUUCGCUUUGAAUCCAUUUCGCGCCAAAAGAAAUACGGAACGGUCACGAAUUUCUGCUCGCCUCGGCGGCGGCGGCGGCUCCGAAACCGCCGGCGACGAGCGACAGCUCAACCUCUCGGUCCUUCGCUUCACUUUUGGCAUACCUGGUUUGGACGAGUCGUACUUGCCCAGAUGGAUAGGGUAUGGGUUUGGUUCGCUCUUGCUGUUGAAUCACUUCGUGGGGUCGGAUCUCGCCAAUAUAACCUCGGCUCAGCUGAGGACAGAGGUUCUGGGUCUUUCUUUGGCUGCAUUCUCCAUUAUACUCCCUUAUCUUGGAAAAUUUCUUCCGGGUGCUGGUCCAGUAACUCAAGUAAUGUUGCCUGAAGGCAAUGAGCAGCUCUUCAUCAUGUCAGAGAGUCUGUCUGAUACAUUGAAGGAGAACUUGGCUUGGGCAACGUAUGUGCUAUUGCGCAAUACAAAUACUAUUGCUGUGUUAAUAUCAAUUGAAGGCAAGCUAUGCAUACGGGGCUAUUGGAGAACACCGGAUGAUGCAUCUAAAGCCCAUGUCCUUGAUUGGUUUGUGGAACAGAUACAGAAAAUUGGCCUCUCUGAUUUGAAGGAUACACUCUAUUUCACCCAGAGUCCUGAUUUUGGAUUUGGGGAAUUGUUACCAAAUGGGACAUGCUCACUGUUGGUGGAGCCACUGCUUCAAGUUUCAGAUCAAGAGGUAUGCGAGAUGGGGAGAAAUGAAGGGUUUGUCAUUCUGGUCUCAAGCAUGAGUUAUGCUUAUAGUGACAAAGACAGAGCCUGGAUAAAAGCUAUUGCAAACAAGUUUACGGGGAAGGGAGGAGGGGAAUCCACCUGGCACAGUUAGAAUGUUUUUCGAAAUUCGUAAGAGGGGGUCAACUCAUAAAGCCAGAGUCUCAAGCUAAAUAUGUAUGUCCUUCCAAGUUAUGAUGUGUAGGUGCAACAUUCUUUGUACACAUUGUAUGCUUUUCGAACUAAUUUGCUUCUAUGAAAUUGCAUGGAAAAUGAGAUGCCUGAAGUUGUUUGGUUGGAUCCUUCAACUUCAGACAUUGGAUUAAUAGACAAGUACUUUGGAAUCCAUAACAUGAUUUCUCCUGUGGACGUGGUCUGAGGGUGAGGACUAAACAAGGGAGAAGAUUGAGAUCACCAACUUCUUCUAAGGGAGUGGUGGAGGCUGGACUGAAUGAGACUGAAGGCAAAUUGGUUGAAGUCCAAGUAAAUCUAGAUGAGACAAGGGAAGAUCUCCAAACUACUAGAGAAGAAAAUGUUGCACUCAAGAAUCGGAUGGAUAGUCUUGAGGAGAAUUACUCCAACUUAUAGAGCUUUUCUAAUGCAGUGACAAUGGUAUCUGACAUUAUCCAUAUGAAACUCCUCAGAUGGUUACCAUGAAUGAUAAGAGUGAUACAAUUAUAUAAUAAGGAAGCAAAUACUGAUGGGAUGCAAUUUCAUUGAUAUCUCUUCUGCAUAUUGGGAGGCUCAAAGUUCUAAUAGCUGCUGAUGCAUAUUGAGAUGGUUAGCUUUCAUUGAUUCAUGUCUUUUUCUGGUAGUAUUGCUUGAUCUUAGCUUUCAUUGGCUCAUUGGUACUAUGGGAGUGUGGAAUUUUUUUUACACCUGUCAAAGACUAUGUUACUGUUUGUUUGAGUGUACUCACCAUUCUUCAAAGGGAUUUGAUCAUAUAUUUUGAUGAAGAUUUUAAUCAUUGUUGUGUAGGAUGGUCCCAUGUGGGAAAUAGUUGUUAAGAAAGCUUAUCAGGCUUGUCUUCAGAGUCUUUGAUUGCAGAGCAGUAUUAUACAUUGUAUUAAUUAUGAGGUGGUGAUGAUACAUAAGGAGUAUGUGAUUUCUUUCAAUGCGGUUAAUUGCAAAAGCAUGGCAGAGAUCUAUUAGAGGUUGAGGUUAUAUUUUUAACAUGAUUGUAUAGAAUACAGGUUAAAUUUUUUCUCAUCAUGUUAUAUCUUGGAUUUGGAAAUUUUGAUGUUCUGAUUUUUAGUUCGUGUAGAUCUAGGGCUUCUGAUUUUCAAUCAAACAUAGUCGAUUUUCAAUA
Molecule: RNA transcript, 2522 nt
Organism: Eucalyptus grandis
Lineage: Eukaryota; Viridiplantae; Streptophyta; Magnoliopsida; Myrtales; Myrtaceae
Gene name: protein COFACTOR ASSEMBLY OF COMPLEX C SUBUNIT B CCB2, chloroplastic
Exons: 9
Source: RefSeq, a predicted model, not a curated record